Molecule: long non-coding RNA, 365 nt
Organism: Doryrhamphus excisus (bluestripe pipefish)
Lineage: Eukaryota; Metazoa; Chordata; Actinopteri; Syngnathiformes; Syngnathidae
Source: RefSeq, a predicted model, not a curated record
CCCAUUUUGUCCUUCCUUAAUGGGAAAGGGUUUUUUAAUCAGCUGAUAUUUUUUGGCAUUAAAAUGUGACAUUAUACCGGUCAUCUUGUAACACAUGCUCCACCAUGCUCCUGGAUUAGCUUUGGGCAAAUACACCUCAAGAUGGUGCUGCUGCAGUCAGAAAAGAGAUGCUGGCUUUUCCUCUUCAUGGAAGGAUGGCAGUGACAAGCGCCUUCUUGCUCAUGCAUGCCCCCACCCCUUCAGGAUGAGAAAGGUUGGAUGCCUUUCAAAAGGGCUAAGUGAAGUGUUUUUACAUUGAAGUCAUUAGUGAGCAGCAGAGCGGCGAAGGGCAGCUCAAUAUGCCGUUAACAGUUGUUAAGAACACA